CAAUUCUACUCUUGAGAGAUAUUAAUUAGUGAAAUCAGUGAAGAAUUUUCGAUAUGUUGAGAAAACAUCAGCGGAGUGUAAUGAAGACUCGUAUUUGGCAAUUUUACAUCUCUCAAGAGUAGAAUUGCAUUGCAAGUUGCAAGAAAAAUUGCACCGUGUAACAUGGCACCGUGUAACAUGGCCCGCUUAAGGGAGUGUUCAUUAUUUAUACCCGAGGUUGGUACCGAAGAGAAACUAAUCGAAAAGAGAAAAAAACAACCACCCACCCUUUCGAUCAACCAUUUUUUUCCCUACCCAACUAUUGCAUGACUUGGAUUUUUAUUUUACCCAACCCAAUUUCAAAAUUAUACAAGUAUUUUACAUAUAUACAUAUAUAUUAUUAUACAAGCUAGGCCACUAUAGUAUAAACAGUACUGUGC
Paramuricea clavata is the source of this 419-nucleotide non-coding RNA. The record is from the annotation of a GenBank genome assembly. Lineage: Eukaryota; Metazoa; Cnidaria; Anthozoa; Malacalcyonacea; Plexauridae.